GACGAACGCUGGCGGCGUGCUUAACACAUGCAAGUCGAACGGAAAGGCCCUGCUUUUGUGGGGUGCUCGAGUGGCGAACGGGUGAGUAACACGUGAGUAACCUGCCCUUGACUUUGGGAUAACUUCAGGAAACUGGGGCUAAUACCGGAUAGGAGCUCCUGCUGCAUGGUGGGGGUUGGAAAGUUUCGGCGGUUGGGGAUGGACUCGCGGCUUAUCAGCUUGUUGGUGGGGUAGUGGCUUACCAAGGCUUGGACGGGUAGCCGGCCUGGGAGGGUGACCGGCCACAUUGGGACUGAGAUACGGCCCAGACUCCUACGGGAGGAAGCAGUGGGGAAUAUUGCACAAUGGGCGGAAGCCUGAUGCAGCAACGCCGCGUGCGGGAUGACGGCCUUCGGGUUGUAAACCGCUUUCGCCUGUGACGAAGCGUGAGUGACGGUAAUGGGUAAAGAAGCACCGGCUAACUACGUG
This 468-nucleotide ribosomal RNA is filed under the name uncultured bacterium. RNAcentral describes it as "partial 16S ribosomal RNA". It matches the Rfam family "Bacterial small subunit ribosomal RNA", at positions 28 to 507 of the family's 1533-position model. The record is from RNAcentral.